UAAUACGGAGGGUGCAAGCGUUAUCCGGAUUUACUGGGUUUAAAGGGUGCGUAGGCGGGACUAUAAGUCAGUGGUGAAAGCCUCCAGCUUAACUGGAGAAUUGCCAUUGAAACUGUAGUUCUUGAGUAUAGUUGAUGUGGGCGGAAUGUGGCAUGUAGCGGUGAAAUGCAUAGAUAUGCCACAGAACACCGAUUGCGAAGGCAACUCACAAAACUAUUACUGACGCUGAGGCACGAAAGCGUGGGUAGCGAACAGGAUUAGAUACCCUGGUAGUCCACGCCCUAAACGAUGAUUACUCGACAUUUGCGAUAUACAGUGAGUGUCCAAGCGAAAGCGUUAAGUAAUCCACCUGGGGAGUACGUUCGCAAGAAUG
This 373-nucleotide ribosomal RNA is filed under the name uncultured Bacteroidota bacterium. RNAcentral describes it as "bacterial SSU rRNA". It matches the Rfam family "Bacterial small subunit ribosomal RNA", at positions 521 to 896 of the family's 1533-position model. The record is from RNAcentral. Lineage: Bacteria; Pseudomonadati; Bacteroidota.